Molecule: ribosomal RNA, 2083 nt
Filed under: human gut metagenome
Description: bacterial LSU rRNA
Rfam family: Bacterial large subunit ribosomal RNA
Source: RNAcentral
GCGAGUUAUGAACACAUGCGAGGUUAAGGAGAAGAUCCGGAGCCGAAGCGAAAGCGAGUCUUAACAGGGCGACAGUAUGUGUUUGUAGACCCGAAACCCGACGAUCUAGCCAUGAUCAGGAUGAAGUAAGGGUAAAACCUUAUGGAGGUCCGAACCGACGUUCGUUGAAACGCCCGCGGAUGAAUUGUGGCUCGUGGUGAAAUUCCAAUCGAGUCGGGUAAUAGCUGGUUCUCCCCGAAAUAGCUUUAGGGCUAGCCUUGGGACAUUGUUUAGUGGGGGUAAAGCACUGAAUAUGAGCGAGCCGCGCCAAGCGGUAUCAAUCAUAAUCAAACUCUGAAUCCCAUUAGAUGUACCCCAGGAGUCAGACUACGGGAGAUAAGUUCCGUGGUCAAGAGGGCAACAGCCCAGACCGCCGAUUAAGGUCCCUAAAUUCACGCUAAGUGUCAAAGGAUGUAGAGAUACUCAAACAGCUAGGAUGUUGGCUCAGAGGCAGCCAUCAUUUAAAGAAUGCGUAACAGCUCACUAGUCAAGUGUCUCCGCGCCGAAAAUUUACCGGGGCUAAGCGUGAUACCGAAAUCGCGGAUGAAUCCUAAAAAUUCGUGGUAGGGGAGCGUUCUGUUUGCAGUGAAGCCAUAUCGUGAGGAGUGGUGGAGCGUACAGAAGCGAGAAUGCCGGCGUAAGUAACGAUAAAGGGUGAGAAUCCCUUUCACCAAUUGACUAAGGUUUCCUGGGCAAGGUUCGUCCUCCCAGGGUUAGUCGGGACCUAAGGCGAGGCCGAGAGGCGUAGUCGAUGGACAGCAGGUUGAUAUUCCUGCACCCGAGCACGCAGUGAUGCAAUGACGAAAACGGCUAUGCUCACCUCCGAUCGGAAGUGGAGGGCAGAGCGUAGGAGUCGAUUCCUUGUUAAGUACGGGAAUCAUUAAGACAAAGACGUGCGGUAUGAAAGUCGCGAGACGAGUAAGAAACAGCAGACGCCGAUUUCCAAGAAAAGUUGCUAACGUUAAACGUGUUCGGCCCGUACCGAGAACGGACACACGUGGUCAAGGAGAAUAUCCUGAGGUGAGCGAGAUAACUGUUGUUAAGGAACUCUGCAAAAUGACUUCGUAACUUAGCAAGAAGAAGUGCUCCAGCGAUGGAGCCGCAGCGAAUCGGCCCAAGUAACUGUUUACCAAAAACACAGCUCUAUGCUAAGUCGCAAGACGAUGUAUAUGGGGUGACGCCUGCCCGGUGCCGGAAGGUUAAAAGGAGAGGUUAGGAGCAAUCCGAAGCUUUGAAUUGAAGCCCCGGUGAACGGCGGCCGUAACUAUAACGGUCCUAAGGUAGCGAAAUUCCUUGUCAGGUAAGUUCUGACGUGCACGAAUGGUGUAAUAAUUUGGGCGCUGUCUCGACAGCAGACUCGGUGAAAUCUUAAUACCGGUGAAGAUGCCGGUUACCCGCGACUAGACGGAAAGACCCCAUGGAGCUUUACUAUAACUUAAUAUUGAGUAAAUGCGAAUCUUGUACAGUAUAGGUGGGAGACUUUGAAGUCGGGGCGUCAGCUUCGAUGGAGUCGCCGUUGGGAUACCACUCUGGAUUUGCAUUUAUUCUAACUCCUACCCUGGAUGGGCGGGAGGACAGUGUUAGGCGGGUAGUUUGGCUGGGGCGGCCGCCUCCCAAAUAGUAACGGAGGCGCCCUAAGGUACCCUCAGUAUGGUCGGAAAUCAUACGUAGAGCGCAAAUGCAUAAGGGUGCUUGACUGCAAGACCGACAAGUCGAGCAGGUACGAAAGUAGGGAUUAGUGACCAGGCGGUUUCAUUGUGGAAUGGCCGUCGCUUAACGGAUAAAAGCUACCCUGGGGAUAACAGGCUGAUCGCGUCCAAGAGUUCACUUCGACGACGCGGUUUGGCACCUCGAUGUCGGCUCAUCACAUCCUGGAGGGGCAGCACCUUCCAAGGGUUAGGCUGUUCGCCUAUUAAAGUGGUACGCGAGCUGGGUUCAAAACGUCGUGAGACAGUUUGGUCCCUAUCUGUCGUGGGCGUAGGAAGUUUGAAAGGAUCUGACCCUAGUACGCAAGGACCAGGUUGGACGUAACUACGGUACACCG